This 253-nucleotide ribosomal RNA is filed under the name uncultured bacterium. RNAcentral describes it as "partial 16S ribosomal RNA". It matches the Rfam family "Bacterial small subunit ribosomal RNA", at positions 524 to 776 of the family's 1533-position model. The record is from RNAcentral.
UACAGAGGUCUCAAGCGUUGUUCGGAUUCAUUGGGCGUAAAGGGUGUGUAGGUGGCGCCGUAAGUCGGGUGUGAAAUCUCGGGGCUUAACUCCGAAACUGCAUUCGAUACUGCGGUGCUUGAGGACUGGAGAGGAGACUGGAAUUCAUGGUGUAGCAGUGAAAUGCGUAGAGAUCAUGAGGAAGACCAGUGGCGAAGGCGGCUCUCUGGGCCUUUCCUGACGCUGAGACGCGAAAGCGUGGGGAGCGAACCGG